This 492-nucleotide ribosomal RNA is filed under the name uncultured bacterium. RNAcentral's name for it is "partial 16S ribosomal RNA". It matches the Rfam family "Bacterial small subunit ribosomal RNA", at positions 29 to 507 of the family's 1533-position model. The record is from RNAcentral.
AGUGAACGCUGGCGGUAGGCCUAACACAUGCAAGUCGAACGGCAGCACAGUAAGAGCUUGCUCUUACGGGUGGCGAGUGGCGGACGGGUGAGGAAUACAUCGGAAUCUACUUUUUCGUGGGGGAUAACGUAGGGAAACUUACGCUAAUACCGCAUACGACCUACGGGUGAAAGCAGGGGAUCUUCGGACCUUGCGCGAUUGAAUGAGCCGAUGUCGGAUUAGCUAGUUGGCGGGGUAAAGGCCCACCAAGGCGACGAUCCGUAGCUGGUCUGAGAGGAUGAUCAGCAACACUGGAACUGAGACACGGUCCAGACUCCUACGGGAGGCAGCAGUGGGGAAUAUUGGACAAUGGGCGAAAGCCUGAUCCAGCCAUACCGCGUGGGUGAAGAAGGCCUUCGGGUUGUAAAGCCCUUUUGUUGGGAAAGAAAAGCAGCAGGUUAAUACCCCGCUGUUCUGACGGUACCAAAAGAAUAAGCACCGGCUAACUUCGUG